CAAUUUAAUUUACCUUGACAAAAUUGUCCUUGGAAGAAAAAAAGAUAAAAUAAAAGAAGAAGAAGAAGAAGUUCAAGCAUAGGGAGGAAAUUAAUCAGGUUUUCAAAUCCGAUUUCGUCAAAUCAAACGUCAGAAUGAUAGAAUAAAAAGGACACGGUUGAAACGGCGCUAAAACUUGAAACAACUAUCCAACCAACCAACCAGCCAACCAACCAACCAGCCAACCCGCGUAUAUUUAACUCGGAAUCAUAAUCCGGUCUGAUAACCGUGGUGGAUGAACCGCGCGGAACGAGCAAAAGAGUUCGGCGGGCGUUAAUGCGUUUUGCAUCGAUCAGCAGACCGCCGCCGCGUUUCUGCUUUCGAUACUCUUGCAAAAGAGAGAAAGAGAGAAAGAGAGUUAACUAAUACAAGGAUAGAAUAUAGGGGGGUAACUGGCGUAACAUGAGAGGGAAAGAGCGUGCUAGUCCGCGCACAUUCCAGCGAUCGGAUAUCUUGAGUCCACCUUCUCUUAGGACGUCUUACUUAUAAUAUCUGGACGAGCCUUGGGUUAACGUGUUACAGGAGUGACUUGCGUCUUGGUAAUUUCAUCCCCGGAUCCGUAUAACAAACUGGAUGAAGUUGAUAUCUAAGAUGGAUUUUGACAAGCAACCCAUUGUUUUACUCUUUGAACGAGGAUGAGAAUGACGAUGAUGAUGAUGAUGAUGAUGAGGCUUCUCGGACCGUCGUCUCACCACUAUCGGAACAUCCCUACUCGGUUGAAUAUAAUAUAAGACCUCGUGGUACUACCUACCUCUAUCUACCGACGUUCAUUCUGACGUUGACCAAAGCCACUUGCUUUUUGCCAGCCGGUUACAAAGUAUGAUGAUCCCUUAGCGAGGACAGAUAGAUAGACGGAUGGAAGGACGGACGGACGGACAGAUACCCUGAUGAAAUCAUCAGGACUCUUCGCACCUGAUCGUUCGUUUCUUUCGUUCUGUUCUUCGUGCCGAGCGUUAAUAUCAGAGAGGAGCCGGCUGUCAGGACGAAAACUUACAUCGGAAUGAAGCAAUUUGCUCGGAGCUCUCGCGAAACCCCCCCCCCCCCCUGCUCUCUCCUCCUUCUCCUCCUCUCCUAUCCCAAUCCUUCAUCCCCUCAUCCUUUGCUUUCUUCCUUUCUUUCCUUUUCCUUCCUCCCCGCUUCCUAUACAAGAAACCACAAGCUUCCGUGAACCUUCAGCUUUAUGUCACGCUUCUCCUACUUCUUUUCUCUUUUUUUAUUUUUCUUUUUCGUUCGAUAAGGACUCCUAUGGUUGGAACGAAUGUCCUUUCAUUUUUAAACGACUUUUUGUGUGUGUGUGUGUAUUUUUUUGUUUUCGUAAUCUUCUUCAAAAAGUAACUUUAUGAGAACACAUUAUUCUUUACAUUCGCGACGUAAUAAUCCGAGUGUUGUUAUAUUAACACUGAAUUUACUGACGAUUUAAGUACACCUGUUUAUAUAUUGUAAGGUUAUUGGUCAUUUAUAACGUAAUUUAGAUUUAAUGUUAUUAAUAAUAGUGAAUUUGGU
Polistes canadensis is the source of this 1542-nucleotide long non-coding RNA. RefSeq lists it as uncharacterized. The record is from RefSeq and is a predicted model, not a curated record. Lineage: Eukaryota; Metazoa; Arthropoda; Insecta; Hymenoptera; Vespidae. The transcript is spliced from 3 exons.